UUAAAUUAGAGUUUUUGAAAAGAAAGAAAAAAUCAGUUUGAGAAGUUAAAUGAGAAAGUUUCUGAAAAAAUUCAGAUGCAGAAGUUAAUUUCAACUUAUGCUCUAAGCUAUUGUUCAAAAAGUCCUGGUUAUUGUAAGAUUAUGAAGCACCAGCACAAACACGGAUACCAGACACGACAUUGAAUAUAAGAAAAUGAAAGUGAUUGUAUUGUAUGUAACCACAUGUGUCAGUGACAUCAUGUCAGGGUUGAACAUCAAACACACCGUCAAUGAGGUGUCGAAGCAACAUAGCAAACAACCACUAAAAUUCAACAGCCAGAAUAAUCUACAAUAGAAACAUAAAUUAAGGGAAUCAAAAGUGCACAUUGCAAGGCCACAUUUAAAAGGGAUGAGUUUAUAUUGGACAAACAACUGUUCAGAAUCAUGAACAGAUAUAUGCUGAUUAGUGAUACCGACGAUUUUGAAAAUUGAGGAAUGAGCUAAGCAUAGUUAUAAAUUGCGGAUUGCGGACGAUAUAAAAGUUUUAGAGGCCUCCAUUACGCCAUCAAAAUCGCAGCUGUAUUUAUCCUCAAUAUCAAGAUUUGCAGCAUAACCGUGACCACAGCCACAAUUUAGAAUCAUGGAGAAGACAACUUAUCAUAGUAAGCUUUAAAAAAAAAAACUUAAAUGCUCUAUGAUAUGCUUCUAUCACAAGGGAAAAUGGACUAGUCUUACCCCUCCUCAGACAGGUACAUUACUCCACAAGUCACCCUCCUGAGCUUAGAAGAUGAAUGCAGCUCAGUUGUCGAGAAAAGAGAGAAAAAAAAAAACUCAUGAUAUUCUAUCACC
This 828-nucleotide long non-coding RNA is filed under the name Trifolium pratense (red clover). RNAcentral's name for it is "long non-coding RNA (TPRA_LNC008631)". The record is from RNAcentral. Lineage: Eukaryota; Viridiplantae; Streptophyta; Magnoliopsida; Fabales; Fabaceae.